RNAcentral lists this unclassified non-coding RNA (276 nucleotides) under uncultured fungus. RNAcentral's name for it is "partial contains 5.8S ribosomal RNA, internal transcribed spacer 2, and large subunit ribosomal RNA". The stretch from base 1 to 52 matches the Rfam family "5.8S ribosomal RNA", at positions 103 to 154 of the family's 154-position model. The record is from RNAcentral. Lineage: Eukaryota; Fungi.
AACGCACCUUGCGCCCUCUGGUAUUCCGGAGGGCAUGCCUGUUUGAGUGUCAUGAAGACUUCAACCCUCCGGGUUUUUGCCCGGGAAGGUCGGAUCUGGGCGCCUGCCAUGGUGUAAUACCCGUGGCUCGCCUCAAAAUUGUCAGUGGUGAUCAGGCCCUCGACGAGAGUAAUAAGUUUCUCUUGUGUUGGGCCGUAGGGAACCGCUAAUAACCCCGCCGUCAGGCGACUUUUUGACUCUGACCUCAAAUCAGGUAGGACUACCCGCUGAACUUAA